Non-coding RNA from Aedes aegypti (yellow fever mosquito), 72 nucleotides. NCBI's taxonomy places the organism in Eukaryota, Metazoa, Arthropoda, Insecta, Diptera, Culicidae. The record is from Rfam.
GGGUCGGUAGCUUAGCUGUUAAAGCGCUUGUCUAGUAUACAAGAGUCCUUGGUUCAAAUCCUAGCCGAGCAC